GCGUGGCUGGCUCAGUUGGUAGAGCAUGUGACUUUUGAUCUCGGGGUCAUGAAUUCAAUCCCCAUGUUGGGUG
This 73-nucleotide transfer RNA is filed under the name Ailuropoda melanoleuca (giant panda). It matches the Rfam family "tRNA". From Rfam's summary of the family: Transfer RNA (tRNA) molecules are approximately 80 nucleotides in length. Their secondary structure includes four short double-helical elements and three loops (D, anti-codon, and T loops). Further hydrogen bonds mediate the characteristic L-shaped molecular structure. tRNAs have two regions of fundamental functional importance: the anti-codon, which is responsible for specific mRNA codon recognition, and the 3' end, to which the tRNAs corresponding amino acid is attached (by aminoacyl-tRNA synthetases). tRNAs cope with the degeneracy of the genetic code in two manners: having more than one tRNA (with a specific anti-codon) for a particular amino acid; and 'wobble' base-pairing, i.e. permitting non-standard base-pairing at the 3rd anti-codon position. The record is from Rfam by way of RNAcentral. Lineage: Eukaryota; Metazoa; Chordata; Mammalia; Carnivora; Ursidae.